CUACGGGAUGCACCAGUGGGGAAUAUUGAAAAAGGGGCGCCCUCCUUCUUCAGCGAGGCAGCGGGGGGUAAGAAGGCCUUCGGGUUGUAAAGUACUUUCAGCGGGGAGGAAUUUCUUCCCUUUCCUCCCAGGGAGAGGGGAAGGUAAGGGAAGAAGAGGAAGCGGCUAACUCCGUGCCAGCAGCCGCGGUAAUACGGAGGGUGCAAGCGUUAAUCGGAAUUACUGGGCGUAAAGCGCACGCAGGCGGUUUGUUAAGUCAGAUGUGAAAUCCCCGGGCUCAACCUGGGAACUGCAUCUGAUACUGACAAGCUUGAGUCUCGUAGAGGGGGGUAGAAUUCCAGGUGUAGCGGUGAAAUGCGUAGAGAUCUGGAGGAAUACCGGUGGCGAAGGCGGCCCCCUGGACGAAGACUGACGCUCAGGUGCGAAAGCGUGGGGAGCAAACAGGAUUAGAUACCCCAGUAGUC
This 464-nucleotide ribosomal RNA is filed under the name uncultured bacterium. RNAcentral describes it as "partial 16S ribosomal RNA". It matches the Rfam family "Bacterial small subunit ribosomal RNA", at positions 339 to 795 of the family's 1533-position model. The record is from RNAcentral.